UUCUGCGCCUGGUUUUUAUCGGCGCGGGGGCAGCGGGGCGAAAGGGCCACGGGAUUGCGGGUUAUUUACGGGAUCUGCCACGCCGGGAGCGGCGUGGCAGGCGAAAAUAUCUGCCGCGGAGGCGGUAGGGUGGGCCCUCGGCUGUAAGGGGGCGGCGCUAGGUGGGGCCCGUGGCGUGGGAUCGGAUCCGACGAUGCACGUGGUUUCCUUCGCUUCGCAGGGAAGAAAAUGC
Molecule: long non-coding RNA, 232 nt
Filed under: Setaria italica (foxtail millet)
Lineage: Eukaryota; Viridiplantae; Streptophyta; Magnoliopsida; Poales; Poaceae
Description: long non-coding RNA (SITA_LNC006026)
Source: RNAcentral